UGCGUGAAAUUUCAUAAUUAAUCAAACUUAUACGCUCUUGGGUUGGGAAAGACUCGACUCGAACACCAGCACCAGCACCAGGAGAACGCAGAGCGUGACAAGGAUAUGGUUUAAAAGGGAUAAAAGUACUUGAGAGAACUUUAGAUGAAAAAAGCGGCAACAAUAACAGGCAGGAACAUAUUCUGAAAUUAAGCUUUCUACUUGGGCUAAAAGUGAUAAAAACAAACUUGAGAGAUCUUUGGAGUUGGGAGGACGAGAUAACUCCUUAGAGAUGAACAACUAACUAAGAUCAAGAAUAAAUAGUCUUGAUACAUGACUACGAAUUAAACUGGCUCCAGAUUGAAACACUUUUGACCAUAUAAAGUUUUUGGACUGGCAAGUGCAAAUAAUUGUAUAAUUAA
Molecule: long non-coding RNA, 401 nt
Organism: Drosophila grimshawi
Lineage: Eukaryota; Metazoa; Arthropoda; Insecta; Diptera; Drosophilidae
Exons: 3
Source: RefSeq, a predicted model, not a curated record